GCAGGGUGUGGUGGGGCAUACCUGUAAUCCCAGCUACUCAGGAGGCUAAGGCAGGAGGAUUUUGAGUUUGAGGCCAGCCUGGGCGACAUAGUGAGACCCUGUCUCAA
This 107-nucleotide small RNA is filed under the name Marmota monax (woodchuck). The record is from RNAcentral. Lineage: Eukaryota; Metazoa; Chordata; Mammalia; Rodentia; Sciuridae.